RNAcentral lists this long non-coding RNA (371 nucleotides) under Physcomitrium patens. Its description in RNAcentral is "long non-coding RNA (PPAT_LNC010495)". The record is from RNAcentral. Lineage: Eukaryota; Viridiplantae; Streptophyta; Bryopsida; Funariales; Funariaceae.
AUUUUGGUGAAAUUGCCUCAACAGUUUGCCAACCUUGGUUCCUCUCAAAGGUCAACAUACCUUCCUUGAAAUAUCUUCCUAGACUGAAGUCGCUUGAGUCAUCAACUCCUACCGCAAUUUCUCCAAUGGGAAGACACAACACCUUUUCCACGAUUGUUCCAUCAAUCCCGAUAAUUCGUCCUUGUACCAGACUCAAUCCAUCCUCUAGGUCGUAAUUUACGAUAUAUUCCUCCACUAAUGAUACAUUAAUUGAUGGUAAGUAAUAUGACAGGUGCAAAAACUGGAACAACUAUGCAUUCUAAAAGUCUUUUAUUCUUUUUGGUGUCCAGCAGAUAUCCAACUUCAUCAGCUCCAUAUUGGUAACAAUUAUC